GCUGAAUAGAGAAGACUCCAAGAUUCAGAGGAAAAGGAAUCAACAACAAGGCAGGGUCCUCAGUUUCUGAGUCAGUGAUUGGAGAAGAGACCCCAAGGAAAGCCAUCUGAAUGAGAAUAUACUCUUGCUCUCCUCUUUAAAAAUAUAAAGACCAUCUUCAGCUAUGGACCAUAUAAAAAAAAAAAAGAUGACAAACCAGAUUUAGCCUGCAGGCUACAGUUUGUUGCUCCCCACUGUAAGUGGUCGACUUUCGAAGACCUACUGCUGGUAACUGCCAGUUAAAAUUUUUCAGAUGAUUUUGCAAUCAUCAAAUUGUGGGUGACACUUUUUUGGCACCAGUCCAUCUGCUUUCUGUUAACGGUAACCUCAAAGUACAGUUUGAAAAUUAACAUGAUGAUCACUGAAUAACCUUCCUCUGAUCUGUCUCUCACCUUCUGGUCCCAAAGGUCUUAAGUUUACUUUCCUUACAAACUCAUACCACCUUUCUAUAACCCGGG
This 497-nucleotide long non-coding RNA is filed under the name Chinchilla lanigera (long-tailed chinchilla). Its description in RNAcentral is "lncRNA (ENSCLAG00000026267.1)". Lineage: Eukaryota; Metazoa; Chordata; Mammalia; Rodentia; Chinchillidae. The record is from RNAcentral.